UGAGGAGUAUUGGACAAUGGUGGGAACACUGAUCCAGCCAUGCCGCGUGCAGGAUGACUGCCCUAUGGGUUGUAAACUGCUUUUAUACAGGAAGAAACCCACUUACGUGUAAGUGGCUGACGGUACUGUAAGAAUAAGGAUCGGCUAACUCCGUGCCAGCAGCCGCGGUAAUACGGAGGAUCCGAGCGUUAUCCGGAAUCAUCGGGUUUAAAGGGUCCGCAGGCGGGCUGUUAAGUCAGGGGUGAAAGUUUGCCGCUCAACGGUAAAACGGCCUUUGAUACUGAUGGUCUUGAAUGAUUGUGAAGUGGAUAGAAUGUGUAGUGUAGCGGUGAAAUGCAUAGAUAUUACACAGAAUACCGAUUGCGAAGGCAGUCCACUAACAAUGUAUUGACGCUGAGGGACGAAAGCGUGGGUAGCGAACGGGAUUAGAUACCCCCGUAGUCC
This 444-nucleotide ribosomal RNA is filed under the name uncultured prokaryote. RNAcentral describes it as "bacterial SSU rRNA". It matches the Rfam family "Bacterial small subunit ribosomal RNA", at positions 355 to 796 of the family's 1533-position model. The record is from RNAcentral.